This 2816-nucleotide long non-coding RNA is filed under the name Lynx pardinus (Iberian lynx). Lineage: Eukaryota; Metazoa; Chordata; Mammalia; Carnivora; Felidae. The record is from RNAcentral.
CCCGCUUUCCCAGGCCGGGUGGAAUUCCUAUCUCACUUUCCUCGGCUUGAGUUUCUCUGUGGGCAAUGGCUCCGGACUCAGGUCCCCUUCCUGAAGAGCCGCUCUUAAAGGUGCUACCCUUAGACGCUAAGGACAGGGGCACUCAGCGCUGUCGCUUGGGCCCGUCCGCCCUCCGCGCUUUGGGCGCGCACUUGGGCUCGGCGGUGAAGAUCUCUCUGCCUGACGGCGGCUCCUGCGUCUGCACUGCCUGGCUGCGGCGGGACGGAGCAGACGGCUUUGUUCAACUGGAUCCGCAGUGCGCGAGCCCCGGGGCGGCCGUGGAGGCUUCAGGGUUCCGGGGUAAUCUCCGCUUAAGCAGCCUCCGCCUGGUGUCCUGCCCGUCGCUGCGGCACCUCAGUGUGUGGCCGGUGUUGCGGGAGGGGGCGGGCGCGCCCGGGGCCUCGAAUCCAGCCGCGGUACUGGAGGCGGCGCAGGAGCUUCUCAGGAACCGACCUGUCUCCCGGGGCCACGUGGUGACCGCUCCGCCGGGCGCCCCGGGUCCCGUAGCCGCGCUGCACAUCGUCAGCGGGGCGCCCAGCCCGGAUCCGGCCGGGCUAGUCACUCCUCGCACCCACAUCGGUCUCAGCGGGGUGCCUCCGUCGGAAGCGGAGCCACGGCCCGAGGUGCCCUUGGGGGGCCUUUCGGAGGCGGUCGACUCGCUGCGGGAGCUCCUCAGCCUGCCGCUCCGCUACCCUCGCACCUUGGCGGCCCUGGGGCUGGCAGUGCCUCGCGGGGUGCUCCUGGCGGGUCCCCCCGGAGUGGGCAAGACUCAGCUAGUGCGGGCCGUGGUCCGGGAAGCGGGCGCGGAGCUGCUGGCAGUGAGCGCCCCCGCGCUACAGGGCGCCCGGCCCGGGGAGACCGAGGAGAACGUGAGGCAGGUCUUCCGGCGCGCGCGGGAGCUGGCCAGCCGCAGACCCACCCUCCUCUUCCUGGACGAGUUGGACGCCCUGUGUCCCCGGCGGGGCGGCCCACACCGAGCCCCCGAGAGCCGCGUGGUGGCCCAGGUGUUGACGCUGCUAGACGGCAUCAGUGGGGACCGCGAGGUGGUGGUCGUGGCAUCCACCAACCGGCCGGACGCUCUAGACCCAGCGCUGCGCAGACCGGGGAGAUUUGACCGAGAGGUAAAUGGGCGGGGCCAGUCUGACCUUUGUUCCUGGAACCUCGGCCUCUUCUGGCCUUGAUUGGCUGCCCCUAGGCGGUUGCCACUUAGGUUUGGCAGUCGGUGAGGCUGGAGUGGGGCUUUGUGUGGUGCAGAGAACCUGUUCUCUGUCCUUGUGUGAUCUGUGAGCCGGGGCCUGUUUUUCCCGAGUCAAAUUGAGAAGCAAGGUGGCCUUUAGGGAUGAGUUUUGUUGUGCAGGUCCUGAAGAUGAGUACCACCAGUAAUGUUAAUUGGGGAACUAGUUCAGCUAUAAGUGUAUUCAACUCUUAUGGAUUUGGAAUGAAAAUUAAAAUUAGGAUAGCUUCAAGAAAUGAGUGUGUUGAAAUAAAAAGGGAGAAGUCGGGAAAGAUCUAAAUCAAAGCAGGCAUUAAUUCUUCUGGACUUAUUCAUUCCUUGUCAGGACACCAGCAUCCUGACCCACAAGUGAGAAAUUACCCACAAUUGCUCUCUGAGUUGCCAGAAAGAUUGAGUACUCAAAAGCUGAACUAUUUUACAAGCUUUAGUCCCAAAUUGAUUCCUGAUUAAAUAGUUUGAAUAGUGGUUAAGUGAUAUUUGAACUUUGUGUUAGGAAUCUAAAGAGACAGAUGAUAAUUGCACACUUUUAGCUUAAUCUGUGCAUAACUUGAGCACAUUUGUUUCUUUUUUGCAUCAUCUAGUACUUGUCUCCUGAAUAAAAUCCAUAAGGGCAGGGACCUAGACUAUCUGGUUUACUGUUGCACCCUUGGCUGGUAGAACUUGGGAAGUUGUAAAAAAUAACAAAAUGUUGUUAAAUGACAUACAGAGGGCCUCUGGUUUUAUGGUGGUGUGAAUGCCAUAGUCAUUCAGUAGGAAACGUAUUUUGAAUUUUGAUCUUUUGCCAAGCUAGCAAUAUACUGUAAAAUGCUCUCUUGUGAUACUGGGCAGCCACGAGAUCAUGAGGGUAAACAGCUGACACGUUGACAACCGUUUUAUACUCAUCCAAACAUUCUGUUUUUCACUUUCAUACAGUAUUCAAUAAAUUGUAUGAGAUACUCAAAACUUUAUUGUAAAAUAGGUUUUGUGCUAGAUGAUUUUGCUGAACCACCAGCUGAUAAUGUAAGUGCUCUGAGCAUAUUUAAGUAGGCUAGGUUAAGCUGUGAUGUUCAGUACGUUAGGUAUAUUAAAUGCAUUAUCCGCUUACUGUAAUUCCAGCUUAUGAUGCAUUUAUUGGGAUGUAACCCCAUCUUAAGGUGAGGAAGAUCUGUAUGUAAUUUUCAUUGUGCAACUAUCCAGCCAGUGUUACUCCUCUGGAAAAUUAGGAUUUUAAUAUAUUCAGAAUCUAUGGCAUCCUUAAGAGUACAUAGUUGUAGUGCCAAAUUUGCUCAGUAAGUAUACACCUUUGAGAGGAUAUAAAUAUUAUACAAUGUUUUAAGCUGUGUAAGCUUUAAUUUCUCUUUUUUUGCUUUGCAUAUAGGUUGUCAUUGGGACUCCCACACUUAAACAAAGAAAGGCGAUACUCCAGGUGAUUACCUCAAAGAUGCCCAUCUCCAGUCAAGUCGAUUUGAGCCUCCUUGCAGAAAUGACAGUUGGUUACGUUGGUGCGGACUUGACUGCACUUUGUAGAGAAGCUGCCCUGCAUGCUCUCCUUCAUAGUAAGAAG